GUGGGGAAUAUUGGACAAUGGGGGGAACCCUGAUCCAGCCAUGCCGCGUGUGUGAAGAAGGCCUUUUGGUUGUAAAGCACUUUAAGCGAGGAGGAGGCUACCGAGAUUAAUACUCUUGGAUAGUGGACGUUACUCGCAGAAUAAGCACCGGCUAACUCUGUGCCAGCAGCCGCGGUAAUACAGAGGGUGCAAGCGUUAAUCGGAUUUACUGGGCGUAAAGCGCGCGUAGGUGGCCAAUUAAGUCAAAUGUGAAAUCCCCGAGCUUAACUUGGGAAUUGCAUUCGAUACUGGUUGGCUAGAGUAUGGGAGAGGAUGGUAGAAUUCCAGGUGUAGCGGUGAAAUGCGUAGAGAUCUGGAGGAAUACCGAUGGCAAAGGCAGCCAUCUGGCCUAAUACUGACACUGAGGUGCGAAAGCAUGGGGAGCAAACAGGAUUAGAUACCCCAGUAGUCC
RNAcentral lists this ribosomal RNA (451 nucleotides) under uncultured bacterium. RNAcentral describes it as "partial 16S ribosomal RNA". It matches the Rfam family "Bacterial small subunit ribosomal RNA", at positions 354 to 796 of the family's 1533-position model. The record is from RNAcentral.